AUGUUUGGCACUAAAUAUUUGAAUGAUGAGCAUGAUUGGAAUGUUGUUAGUAUGAAUUCCUUGAAUAUCCAUGAUGCUAAUGAUAUGCAAAGCCACAAGCUUGGGGAAGCUAUGUUUGAUGAAGAUGAUAUUUUUUGUCCCCCAAUAUUUGAUGAGAAAAUUUAUUAUGAUGAAAGCAUGCCUCCUAUUUAUGAUGAUUAUAUUGAUGAAAGUGGAUUUGGAGAGGUCAUGACUUUAUUUUGUGAUGAAUCCACUAUUUUGGAAGAGGUUCCAAUUGAAUAUGAGAACAAAGUUGCUAUCUAUGAUGAUUAUUGUGAUGACUUGUAUGCUAUAAAGAAUAAUAAUAUUCAUGAAACUUGUCAUCAUGAUUUUAGUUUUCAAUUGGAUUAUGCCUCACAUGAUAGUUAUUUUGUUGAGUUUGAUCCCACUACUAUUCAUGAGAAGAAGUUUGCUUAUGUGGAGAGUAGUAAAUUUUCUAUGCUUGUAGAUCAUGAAAAGAAUGCUUUAGAUGCUGGUUAUAUUGUUGAAUUCAUUCAUGAUGCUACUUAA
Molecule: ribosomal RNA, 549 nt
Filed under: Triticum aestivum (bread wheat)
Lineage: Eukaryota; Viridiplantae; Streptophyta; Magnoliopsida; Poales; Poaceae
Description: partial small subunit ribosomal RNA
Source: RNAcentral